UACGUAGGGGGCAAGCGUUGUCCGGAAUCAUUGGGCGUAAAGGGCGCGCAGGCGGCUACGCACGUCCGUUGUGAAAUCGCUCGGCUCAACUGGGCGGGGUCAGCGGAUACGGCGUAGCUGGAGCAAGCUAGGGGGCAAUGGAAUUCCCGGUGUAGUGGUGGAAUGCGUAGAUAUCGGGAGGAACACCAGUGGCGAAGGCGGUUGCCUGGAGCUUUGCUGACGCUGAGGCGCGAAAGCGUGGGGAGCGAUCCGG
Molecule: ribosomal RNA, 253 nt
Filed under: uncultured bacterium
Lineage: Bacteria
Description: partial 16S ribosomal RNA
Rfam family: Bacterial small subunit ribosomal RNA
Source: RNAcentral